RNAcentral lists this transfer RNA (67 nucleotides) under Anadara cornea. RNAcentral's name for it is "tRNA-Lys". Lineage: Eukaryota; Metazoa; Mollusca; Bivalvia; Arcoida; Arcidae. The record is from RNAcentral.
UUCCAGGAAAGCCCCGGUCGGCGUCUGUCUUUUAAACAGAGGUGGAGCAAAAAAGUUCUUCUUGGUU